Molecule: non-coding RNA, 465 nt
Organism: Ctenopharyngodon idella (grass carp)
Lineage: Eukaryota; Metazoa; Chordata; Actinopteri; Cypriniformes; Xenocyprididae
Source: the annotation of a RefSeq genome assembly
AUGGAGAGAUGUAUUCUGCUGAUUCUUAUAACAGUAUCAGGUGUAUUUGCUGACAGCAUUAAACCAAAAGACAAGGAAAAUAUAAUCAGGACAGAAGGAGAGUCUGUGACACUGAGCUGUACAUAUGAUACAAGCAGCAGUAAUACUUUUGUUAUGCUUUACUGGUACAGACAGUAUCCAAACAGAGAACCUCAGUAUUUACUACGGAAAGGUGCUCGAUCAGGGAGCAAUAGUGAGGAUAUACCAGAUCCUCACUUUCAGUCGACUACAUCCCAAUCAUCCACUGAACUCAUUAUUAACAGUGUGACUCUGUCAGAUUCAGCUCUCUAUUAUUGUGCUCUAUGGAGCCCAGUGAUACAAAGUCUAUGUGAAGCCGUACAAAAACUGAAAAUUAUUUUAAGCCGCAUCAAACCCACAAUCUAUAAUUCACACAAUAUAAUUGUGGAAACACCUGUGUGUGGUUAG